This 906-nucleotide ribosomal RNA is filed under the name uncultured Bacillota bacterium. Its description in RNAcentral is "bacterial SSU rRNA". It matches the Rfam family "Bacterial small subunit ribosomal RNA", at positions 61 to 996 of the family's 1533-position model. The record is from RNAcentral. Lineage: Bacteria; Bacillati; Bacillota.
AUCGAGCGGGGAGCAAUCCCAGCGGCGAACGGUCGCAUAACACGUAAGCAACCUGCCCGAAAGACCGGGACAACAGUGAGAAAUCGCUGCUAAUACCGGAUGUGCCCGCCCCUUUGCAUGGAGGGGUGAGUAAAUCAUUUAUGGCUUUCGGAGGGGCUUGCGGCCUAUCAGCUAGAUGGCGGGGUAGUGGCCCACCAUGGCGACGACGGGUAGCUGGUCUGAGAGGAUGGUCAGCCGGACUGGGACUGAGAUACGGCCCAGACUCCUACGGGGGGCAGCAAUUAGGAAUCUUGCGCAAUGGGCGAAAGCCUGACGCAGCGACGCCGCGUGGAGGAGGAAGGCCUUCGGGUUGUAAACUCCUUUUGAGGGGGAAGAAACAAAUGACGGUACCUCUCGAAUAAGCCCCGGCUAACUCCGUGCCAGCAGCCGCGGUAAUACGGAGGGGGCGAGCGUUGUCCGAAGUUACUGGGCGUAAAGCGCGUGUAGGCGGGUUGCCAAGUCCGCUGUGAAAGCCCGAGGCUCAACCUCGGAGGGUCGGUGGAUACUGGCAGUCUUGAAGGUGCUAGGGGGAGAUGGAAUUACCGGUGUAGCGGUGAAAUGCGUAGAGAUCGGUAGGAACACCAGUGGCGAAGGCGGUCUCCUGGGGCAUUCUUGACGCUGAGACGCGAAAGCUGGGGGAGCGAACGGGAUUAGAUACCCCGGUAGUCCCAGCCCUAAACGAUGGAUACUAGGUGUCGGGGGUAUCGACCCCCCCGGUGCCGCCGCUAACGCAGUAAGUAUCCCGCCUGGGGAGUACGGCGCAAGGUUGAAACUCAAAGGAAUUGACGGGGGCCCGCACAAGCGGUGAGCAUGUGGUUUAAUACGUUACUAACCGUAAACCUUACCAGGGUUUGACAUCCCGCGCCA